This 745-nucleotide non-coding RNA is filed under the name Nephus sp. 1 EL-2020. Lineage: Eukaryota; Metazoa; Arthropoda; Insecta; Coleoptera; Coccinellidae. The record is from RNAcentral.
AAAAUAUUUAAUUAUAGUAUGAAAAUUAUAUGUAUUAUAUUAUUUUAUAUAUGAAUUUUGUUUUAAUAAAAUUUUAGUAGUAUAUAAUUUUAAAUUUAAAAUAAGUUUUGAUUUAGAUAAUAAUUUAAAAUUGACUAAGUUUGUGCCAGCAGUUGCGGUUAUACAAACAAUUUUAUAUAAUUUUUUUAGUUAAAAUUAGGUGGAAAUUUUUAAUUUGUAUUAAGUUUUUAAGGUGAAAUUUUAAAUUUAAUUAGUUAUAUUUAUAUAAAUUGAUUUUGUAAAAUUAAAUUAUAAACUAGGAUUAGAUACCCUAUUAUUUUAAUUGUGAUUUUUUAAACUAAAUGAUUAAUAGUUAAGUUCUUUAAAGUUAAAUAAUUUGGCGGUAUUUUAGUCUUUUCAGAGGAACCUGCCCUAUAAUUGAUAAUCCACGUUUAAAUUUACUUAAAUUAGAAAUUUAUAUAUCAUCGUGAAAAAUAUUUUUUUAGAAAUUAAUAUUUUAAAAAUAAGAUUUUAUUAGAAUUCAGAUCAAGGUAUAGUUUAUAUUUAAGAAGUGGUGGGUUACAAUAAAUUUAUUUUUGGAAAUAAAAUUUUAAAUUUUAUAGAAAUUGGAUUUGAAAGUAAUUAAAUUUAUAUUUUUUUAAUGAUUAAGCUCUAAAAUAUGCACAUAUCGCCCGUCGCUUUCAUUUUUUUAAAGUGAAAUAAGUCGUAACAAAGUAGACUUACUGGAAAGUGAGUCUAGAAGACA